Molecule: ribosomal RNA, 271 nt
Filed under: uncultured bacterium
Lineage: Bacteria
Description: partial 16S ribosomal RNA
Rfam family: Bacterial small subunit ribosomal RNA
Source: RNAcentral
CACGUAGGGCGCAAGCGUUGUCCGGAAUUAUUGGGCGUAAAGAGCUCGUAGGCGGUCUGUCGCGUCUGCCUGUGAAAACUCGGGGCUUAACCCCGGGCCUGCAGUGGGUACGGGCAGACUAGAGUGCGGUAGGGGAGACUGGAAUUCCUGGUGUAGCGGUGAAAUGCGCAGAUAUCAGGAGGAACACCGGUGGCGAAGGCGGGUCUCUGGGCAGUGAACUGACGUGAGGAGCGAAAGCGUGGGUAGCAAACAGGAUUAGACUACCCCGUGU